UGUUUUGUGCGAUGUGGGAACGCUUCUGAGGAGAGAAUAAAACCACAAGGCACUUCAGAACUGCACACAGUGCUCCAGGUGGGGUCUCACAAGAGCAGAGUAAAGGGGCAGAAUCACCUUCCUCGACCUACUCAUCAUGCUUCUCCUGAUGCUACCCAGGAUAUGGUUGGCAAACCUAUGAUAGGGAAGAGGCUGAAGUUCCUUUUUCUUCAUCAGCUAUUCACGCUUUCCAGCUUGCUUGCUGUCACUUGACUACAGAAAAGACAUCAAUUCCCUGGCAACACCUCACCAUGUGUUACAU
Tympanuchus pallidicinctus (lesser prairie-chicken) is the source of this 301-nucleotide long non-coding RNA. RefSeq lists it as uncharacterized. The record is from RefSeq and is a predicted model, not a curated record. Lineage: Eukaryota; Metazoa; Chordata; Aves; Galliformes; Phasianidae. The transcript has 3 exons.